GCCAAGGUGGCGGAGUGGCUACGCUAUCGCCUGCAGAGCGAUCACAUUCCGGUUCGAAUCCGGACCUUGGCU
Molecule: transfer RNA, 72 nt
Filed under: Methanosarcinales archaeon
Lineage: Archaea; Methanobacteriati; Methanobacteriota; Methanomicrobia; Methanosarcinales
Also listed under: 2 other names
Description: tRNA-Cys
Rfam family: tRNA
About the family: Transfer RNA (tRNA) molecules are approximately 80 nucleotides in length.
Source: RNAcentral